AUUUACAAAGUUGUGGGUUUCCAGAGGGAAGGAAAAAAAUGCAUUCUUAGUUUUGAUUAACCCAACACCCCUCUUCUCCCUGACUUCCCAUCCGCACUUAGGUGACCCACCCCUUGGAAACCAAAGUUACUAUUUUGACCCACCCCUUGGAAACCAAUGUUAAUAUUCUGACCUGGCGUGUUUUCCUGCACGCGCGAGAUACCCUCGGGGUCCCCACGUAAUAAUUCAUAACAUUGGUGCUAGUGACUGGGCAGGGGUCCUCCUGGCGCAUUUCUCCUGCCUGCCCGCACUCUGAGACACUCUGAGACACGCUAGGAGCCCUGGAACCUUCAACACUCACUCAGCCAACACCGGCGUAAUUAGUAAGCCCCUGACCCUCCUCUGUCUGUAUUCCAGCAGGCUGGCAGAAACACCAAAGCAGCAGUUGUGAACCACACCUGUGGCGCUUUCCCUGCCACAGAUGCCAGCAGAGACUCUUGUCUACUUGACGUGGAACAGCCCAGUCAAACAUAAUUGAUCCUUGCCUCUAUAGCCAGUCCUCAGAUACCUGUAGAGAUCUGAGAAUAUGGCAUUGAAUAUGAAAGCUUUUUAUGAUAAAGAGACAUGUCAGGUCCUGGCAGCAACCUGUAUCUUCUUCAAGAUGAUGAAUGGCUGCAGAAGAACCUCCACCCAGAAGCUCAUGGCAAGGCCGGCCACACAAGAAAAAGCUGAGAUCCUGUCUAGACUGUGAAUACUGUCUAGACCGCUUGUCCCCCUGCCGAGACAGGUAGGUUGAUCUCCUCAAAUUUCUACUCCACAGAAAAAUAUGUCAGAUCUUCUGGGCUUAUCAGCUGAACAAGUGCUUCCUCUGGGGCUCCUGACCCCACCCCCACCCCCACAACCACAGAGAGACUUGAGACUGCUACCUAGGCAGCUGGAAAGCUGUCUCACUUCUUAAAUUUAUCCUUCUCAGAUCUGAUGAUGUUUGAUGACCAGGGGGUAUCAGUUUGACAGCCCCAAUCCCAAGAUUACUGACAGUUCAUUAAUAAGUUUCCUAUUAAAAUUAUAGACAGGUAUGCCUUAUUCACAGACUUCAUGGUACAGGAUAGAAUGGUUUCAGAUAUAACUCCAGACGUUCAAAUUUUAAUAUUGAUAAAUGCAGCUUUGAUAAAUUGAUACAACAUUGACUACAAACAAUUCUUAAGAAUCCUUAAAUUUUCAUAGAUUUUUUUAAACCCUUUUGCUAUGAUAUAAAUCUAUUCCAGCUGUCUUACAGAUACCUACAGGUCCCUGGGAAAAAUUCUUCUACUGCAUCAAAAAAUCUGGUCUGACGAAACCUAGCAGUCUCCAGAGCCCAUUUUUGACCUCACCCAUUUUUGAGCAUAUUUUGCAGCUUCUCUCCUCCUGCCUGGGUCAAGGGGCUCUCCAGAUAAGUCGGUCCCUGCACCAGCUCCAAGGAUGCCAACCUCCAAUUUAGGACACCCACUGGGAUGGCUGCACCCCCACCUCCAGAGAAAUGGCAGAUAGGAUCAUGAAGAACACAUCCUUCAAUUCACUGCCGCAACCUCAAGGAACAGAUGCCUGAGAUCUCCACGCCAGAGAUUCACACGAUGACAACUGACAAUGCUUCUUUACUGGCGCCUUCCGGCUUCCCCCCUCCCCACUUCACCCCUUGUCAGCUUGAAGUAGCCGCAAGAAUUCAGUGCCCUUGUUCCCCUGCUUGCUCCCAUAACUCACCUCUUUUUACAAUAAUCAAACCACAGGAAUGUUAGUAUUCUGAUUCGCCCCUUGGAAACCAGUGUUAGUAUUCUGACCCGCCCCUUGGCGCCGCCCUGUGUCCUGGAGUAAGAGCUUCAUUUCUAAGGAAAAGCUUCUCCCCUUCCCCCCCUCCCGCUUUUCCUCCCAUGAGGUGUGCACCCUUGAUCUCUCUCUCUCUUCUCUCUUUUUCUCCCUCUCUCUUCCCUAUCUUUCUCUUCAUCUCUCUAUUAUAAUAAACUCUCCACAUGGAUGCAGCAUCUAAGUUGUGAAUUACUGGCC
Peromyscus maniculatus bairdii (prairie deer mouse) is the source of this 2016-nucleotide non-coding RNA. The record is from RefSeq and is a predicted model, not a curated record. NCBI's taxonomy places the organism in Eukaryota, Metazoa, Chordata, Mammalia, Rodentia, Cricetidae.